GGGCUUGUAGCUCAGUGGAUUAGAGUAUAUGGCUACGAACCAUGCGGUCGGGGGUUCAAGUCCCUCCAAGCCCA
Molecule: transfer RNA, 74 nt
Filed under: Volvocales sp. NrCl902
Lineage: Eukaryota; Viridiplantae; Chlorophyta; Chlorophyceae; Chlamydomonadales
Description: tRNA-Arg
Rfam family: tRNA
About the family: Transfer RNA (tRNA) molecules are approximately 80 nucleotides in length. Their secondary structure includes four short double-helical elements and three loops (D, anti-codon, and T loops).
Source: RNAcentral